Molecule: non-coding RNA, 247 nt
Organism: Cinara cedri
Lineage: Eukaryota; Metazoa; Arthropoda; Insecta; Hemiptera; Aphididae
Source: the annotation of a GenBank genome assembly
GUUGGAAAAAGUAAUGAGAAAUUCAAAAUAUUUUCUAAAAAAAGUACCAUUAGCCAAAACAUCCGUAUCUAUUAACGUAUGCUAUGAAAAAAAUCAGAGCAUUUACUUAUCUACUAAAAAUGUUUUCUGAGAAAAAAAUAUGUGACUAAUUCUCGUAUUUAGUUAUUGACGAAUUAAAAUAAAUCCGUAAAUUCUGGCAAAUACAAAUAUAGUCGUCGUCGGCAAGGGAAUCGUUAAUCAAAAAAAC